This 252-nucleotide unclassified non-coding RNA is filed under the name uncultured fungus. RNAcentral describes it as "partial contains 5.8S ribosomal RNA, internal transcribed spacer 2, and large subunit ribosomal RNA". Lineage: Eukaryota; Fungi. The record is from RNAcentral.
AACGCACAUUGCGCCCCUCGGUAUUCCGUGGGGCAUGCCUGUUCGAGCGUCAUUUAAACCCUCAAGCUCAGCUUGGUGUUGGGUGCUUGUCCCGCCCCCGCGCGGCGACUCACCUCAAAAUCAGUGGCAGCCCGCACCCGCCGGCCGUGAGCGCAGCACAGUCGCGCCCUAGGCAAUUGGCAGGUCGGCUCUCCAGAAGCUCCUUCUUCCACUUUUGACCUCGGAUCAGGUAGGGAUACCCGCUGAACUUAA